This 1542-nucleotide ribosomal RNA is filed under the name Salmonella enterica subsp. enterica serovar Montevideo str. 507440-20. RNAcentral's name for it is "bacterial SSU rRNA". It matches the Rfam family "Bacterial small subunit ribosomal RNA". Lineage: Bacteria; Pseudomonadati; Pseudomonadota; Gammaproteobacteria; Enterobacterales; Enterobacteriaceae. The record is from RNAcentral.
AAAUUGAAGAGUUUGAUCAUGGCUCAGAUUGAACGCUGGCGGCAGGCCUAACACAUGCAAGUCGAACGGUAACAGGAAGCAGCUUGCUGCUUUGCUGACGAGUGGCGGACGGGUGAGUAAUGUCUGGGAAACUGCCUGAUGGAGGGGGAUAACUACUGGAAACGGUGGCUAAUACCGCAUAACGUCGCAAGACCAAAGAGGGGGACCUUCGGGCCUCUUGCCAUCAGAUGUGCCCAGAUGGGAUUAGCUUGUUGGUGAGGUAACGGCUCACCAAGGCGACGAUCCCUAGCUGGUCUGAGAGGAUGACCAGCCACACUGGAACUGAGACACGGUCCAGACUCCUACGGGAGGCAGCAGUGGGGAAUAUUGCACAAUGGGCGCAAGCCUGAUGCAGCCAUGCCGCGUGUAUGAAGAAGGCCUUCGGGUUGUAAAGUACUUUCAGCGGGGAGGAAGGUGUUGUGGUUAAUAACCGCAGCAAUUGACGUUACCCGCAGAAGAAGCACCGGCUAACUCCGUGCCAGCAGCCGCGGUAAUACGGAGGGUGCAAGCGUUAAUCGGAAUUACUGGGCGUAAAGCGCACGCAGGCGGUCUGUCAAGUCGGAUGUGAAAUCCCCGGGCUCAACCUGGGAACUGCAUUCGAAACUGGCAGGCUUGAGUCUUGUAGAGGGGGGUAGAAUUCCAGGUGUAGCGGUGAAAUGCGUAGAGAUCUGGAGGAAUACCGGUGGCGAAGGCGGCCCCCUGGACAAAGACUGACGCUCAGGUGCGAAAGCGUGGGGAGCAAACAGGAUUAGAUACCUUGGUAGUCCACGCCGUAAACGAUGUCUACUUGGAGGUUGUGCCCUUGAGGCGUGGCUUCCGGAGCUAACGCGUUAAGUAGACCGCCUGGGGAGUACGGCCGCAAGGUUAAAACUCAAAUGAAUUGACGGGGGCCCGCACAAGCGGUGGAGCAUGUGGUUUAAUUCGAUGCAACGCGAAGAACCUUACCUGGUCUUGACAUCCACGGAAGUUUUCAGAGAUGAGAAUGUGCCUUCGGGAACCGUGAGACAGGUGCUGCAUGGCUGUCGUCAGCUCGUGUUGUGAAAUGUUGGGUUAAGUCCCGCAACGAGCGCAACCCUUAUCCUUUGUUGCCAGCGAUUCGGUCGGGAACUCAAAGGAGACUGCCAGUGAUAAACUGGAGGAAGGUGGGGAUGACGUCAAGUCAUCAUGGCCCUUACGACCAGGGCUACACACGUGCUACAAUGGCGCAUACAAAGAGAAGCGACCUCGCGAGAGCAAGCGGACCUCAUAAAGUGCGUCGUAGUCCGGAUUGGAGUCUGCAACUCGACUCCAUGAAGUCGGAAUCGCUAGUAAUCGUGGAUCAGAAUGCCACGGUGAAUACGUUCCCGGGCCUUGUACACACCGCCCGUCACACCAUGGGAGUGGGUUGCAAAAGAAGUAGGUAGCUUAACCUUCGGGAGGGCGCUUACCACUUUGUGAUUCAUGACUGGGGUGAAGUCGUAACAAGGUAACCGUAGGGGAACCUGCGGUUGGAUCACCUCCUUA